CUCAAAUUUGAAAUCUGGCCCUUGGGUCCGAAUUGUAAUUUGUAGAGGAUGAUUUUGGUGCGGUACCUCCUGAGUUCCUUGGAAUAGGACACCUUAGAGGGUGAGAGUCCCGUUCAGUUGGAUACCUAGCCUUUGUAAAUCUCCUUCGACGAGUCGAGUAGUUUGGGAAUGCUGCUCUAAAUGGGAGGUAAAUUUCUUCUAAAGCUAAAUACUGGCCAGAGACCGAUAGCGCACAAGUAGAGUGAUCGAAAGAUGAAAAGCACUUUGAAAAGAGGGUUAAAUAGCACGUGAAAUUGUUGAAAGGGAAGGAUUUAUGACCAGACUUUUUCUGGGCAGAUCAUCCGGUGUUCUCACCGGUGCACUUUGCCCAGUUUAGGCCAGCAUCGAUUUCCGGAGGGGGAUAAAAGCUUUAGGAAUGUGGCUCCCUCGGGAGUGUUAUAGCCUAUUGUAUAAUACCUUUCUGGGGAUCGAGGUACGCGCUUCUGCAAGGAUGCUGGCGUAAUGGUUAUCAAUCACCCGUCUUGAAACACGGACCAAGGAGUCGAACAUUUGUGCGAGUGUUUGGGUGUUAAACCCUCACGCGUAAUGAAAGUGAACGGAGGUAAGAGCCCUUACGGGUGCAUUAUCGACCGAUCCUGAAGUUUUCGGAUGGAUUUGAGUAGGAGCAUAAAUGUUCGGACCCGAAAGAUGGUGAACUAUGCGUGGAUAGGGUGAAGCCAGAGGAAACUCUGGUGGAGGCUCGCAGCGGUUCUGACGUGCAAAUCGAUCGUCAAAUCUGCGCAUGGGG
Molecule: ribosomal RNA, 787 nt
Filed under: Monochaetia sp. SR-2016a
Lineage: Eukaryota; Fungi; Ascomycota; Sordariomycetes; Amphisphaeriales; Sporocadaceae
Description: eukaryotic LSU rRNA
Rfam family: Eukaryotic large subunit ribosomal RNA
Source: RNAcentral